This 253-nucleotide ribosomal RNA is filed under the name uncultured bacterium. Its description in RNAcentral is "partial 16S ribosomal RNA". It matches the Rfam family "Bacterial small subunit ribosomal RNA", at positions 524 to 776 of the family's 1533-position model. The record is from RNAcentral.
UACGAGGGGGGCAAAUGUUGUUCGGAAUCACUGGGCGUAAAGGGAGCGUAGGCGGGUUCUUAAGUUAGGUGUUUAAUCCCGGGGCCCAACCCCGGACCGGCACUUAAAACUGGGAAUCUUGAAUAGUGGAGAGGUCAGUGGAAUUGGGGGUGUAGCGGUGGAAUGCGUAGAGAUCCCCAAGAACACCAGUUGCGAAGGCGGCUGACUGGACACAUAUUGACGCUGAGGCUCGAAAGCGUGGGGAGCGAACAGG